CAGCCGCCGCGGUAAUACGUAGGUGGCAAGCGUUAUCCGGAAUUAUUGGGCGUAAAGCGCGCGUAGGCGGUUUUUUAAGUCUGAUGUGAAAGCCCACGGCUCAACCGUGGAGGGUCAUUGGAAACUGGAAAACUUGAGUGCAGAAGAGGAAAGUGGAAUUCCAUGUGUAGCGGUGAAAUGCGCAGAGAUAUGGAGGAACACCAGUGGCGAAGGCGACUUUCUGGUCUGUAACUGACGUUGAUGUGCGAAAGCGUGGGGAUCAAACAGGAUUAGAUACCCCCGUAGUCCCUGUCUCUUAUAC
This 301-nucleotide ribosomal RNA is filed under the name uncultured bacterium. RNAcentral describes it as "partial 16S ribosomal RNA". It matches the Rfam family "Bacterial small subunit ribosomal RNA", at positions 509 to 807 of the family's 1533-position model. The record is from RNAcentral.